This 484-nucleotide ribosomal RNA is filed under the name uncultured bacterium. Its description in RNAcentral is "partial 16S ribosomal RNA". It matches the Rfam family "Bacterial small subunit ribosomal RNA", at positions 30 to 507 of the family's 1533-position model. The record is from RNAcentral.
AUUGAACGCUGGCGGCAGGCCUAACACAUGCAAGUCGAGCGGAUGAAGGGAGCUUGCUCCUGGAUUCAGCGGCGGACGGGUGAGUAAUGCCUAGGAAUCUGCCUGGUAGUGGGGGAUAACGUCCGGAAACGGGCGCUAAUACCGCAUACGUCCUGCGGGAGAAAGUGGGGGAUCUUCGGACCUCACGCUAUCAGAUGAGCCUAGGUCGGAUUAGCUAGUUGGUGGGGUAAAGGCCUACCAAGGCGACGAUCCGUAACUGGUCUGAGAGGAUGAUCAGUCACACUGGAACGGAGACACGGUCCAGGCUCCUACGGGAGGCAGCAGUGGGGAAUGUUGGACAAUGGGCGGAAGCCUGAUCCAGCCAUGCCGCGUGUGUGAAGAAGGUCUUCGGAUUGUAAAGCACGUUAAGUUGGGAGGAAGGGCAGUAAGUUAAUACCUUGCUGCUUUGACGUUACCAACAGAAUAAGCACCGGCUAACUUCGUG